This 560-nucleotide ribosomal RNA is filed under the name uncultured archaeon. Its description in RNAcentral is "bacterial SSU rRNA". It matches the Rfam family "Archaeal small subunit ribosomal RNA", at positions 276 to 838 of the family's 1478-position model. The record is from RNAcentral.
GUGAGAGCGGGAGCCCGGAGAUGGGCACUGAGACAAGGGCCCAGACCAUACGGGGCGCAGCAGUCGCGAAAACUUUGCAAUACACGAAAGUGUGACAGGGCUAUCCCGAGUGCCAUCCGCUGAGGAAGGCUUUUACCCAGUCUAGAAAGCUGGGAGAAUAAGGAGAGGGCAAGCCUGGUGUCAGCCGCCGCGGUAAUACCAGCUCUCCGAGUGGUGUGGAUGUUUAUUGGGCCUAAAGCAUCCGUAGCUGGCCAAGUUAGUCCCCUGUUAAAUCCACCGAAUUAAUCGUUGGAGUGCGGGGGAUACUGCUCGGCUAGGGGACGAGAGAGGCCGACGGUAUUUUCGGGGUAGGGGUGAAAUCCUAUAAUCCCGGGAAGACCACCAGUGGCGAAGGCUGUCGGCUAGAACGCGCCCGACGGUGAGGGAUGAAAGCUGGGGGAGCGAACCGGAUUAGAUACCCGGGUAGUCCCAGCUGUAAACGAUGCAGGCUAGGUGUUUGGGCGGCCACGGGCCGCUCUAGUGCCGCAGGGAAGCUGUUAAGCCUGCCGCCUGGGGAGUAC